Non-coding RNA from Paramuricea clavata, 233 nucleotides. The record is from the annotation of a GenBank genome assembly. NCBI's taxonomy places the organism in Eukaryota, Metazoa, Cnidaria, Anthozoa, Malacalcyonacea, Plexauridae.
CACUUGCCUAAUGCGUAGUCGUCAGGGAGACAAAGGUGUGACCCUUGGUAACGGGCGAUUAGUUCUAAUCGCCCGCUCUAGCGGGCGAUUAGAACUAAUCGCCCGCUACAGCGGGCGAUUAGUUAGUAAUCGACCCUGUUGAAACAAAAGAAACCCGGGCAACUAUGCUAUUACACUAAUAAACGGUUUGCUUUUUUAUUUUAAAUUCCAGAAGCAGAAGUUUAUGCACCUGU